CUGGGUUGAUAGGCCGGAUCUGGAAGCACGGUAACGUGCGGAGGUGACCGGUACUAAUAGGCCGAGGGCUUGUCCUC
This is a ribosomal RNA of Streptomyces sp. WM6386, 77 nucleotides long. It matches the Rfam family "Bacterial large subunit ribosomal RNA", at positions 2848 to 2925 of the family's 2925-position model. The record is from Rfam. NCBI's taxonomy places the organism in Bacteria, Bacillati, Actinomycetota, Actinomycetes, Kitasatosporales, Streptomycetaceae.